This 184-nucleotide ribosomal RNA is filed under the name Aquifex aeolicus. RNAcentral describes it as "partial 16S ribosomal RNA". It matches the Rfam family "Bacterial small subunit ribosomal RNA", at positions 1 to 176 of the family's 1533-position model. Lineage: Bacteria; Pseudomonadati; Aquificota; Aquificia; Aquificales; Aquificaceae. The record is from RNAcentral.
UUUAUUGAAGAGUUUGAUCCUGGCUCAGCGCGAACGCUGGCGGCACGCCUAACACAUGCAAGUCGUGGGGCAGCAGACCCUCCUUCGGGAGGGUGCUGGCGACCGGCAAACGGGUGAGUAACACGUGGGUAACCUACCCCCAGGAGGGGGAUAACCCCGGGAAACCGGGGCUAAUACCCCAUAA